CUGAGCGACUCGUUUCGUGUCGAGCUGCCCCUAUACCUCUCUCUCAGCGCGAGGCCGACCCGGCGGCAGCCCCAUUAGGUCGUUCUGCUCUCCAACAUAACCCGAGCUCACCGCCUAAUAGACCCAGGCAGGCCUGCCGCCGGCUCUUCCUCCUCCUCCACCCCCGUCGGUAAUCACAAGCUGUAAUGGAGAGACGAGAUGUAAAAAAGCGUCGAUGUCAGCAGCACAUCGGUGGUUAAUGAUCUAUUAAGUGAUCUGCGUGCUUAUGGACAGCGUAAAAAGUGUUGAUGCUUGCUUAUUUGGCCCUAAUGAGAGUCCCAUCCUACGGAUUUUAGGAAUGAAUAACCCAAAUAAAAUCACCUUAAAAUUUAACAGUUGGCGCAGGGAGGCUGGAGAGGCUGCAGAGCUUCCCACAGCUCACAUCUCACACGUGCACCGGACGCCGGUGUCACGCAGCAGACCCGUGCUCCGUCCGUGGACCGGACCGGAUCCAGGACCUAUUGCCGCACCCGCCUUUUGGAUCUUAAUUAAAACUUUAUUUUGUCACAGAACCCAGCUGGUUUGAGGAAUACUUUUUCCCCCUAACUUCACUCAGUCGGGUUGUAUCCCUUUAACAAAGUUGUUCUUCAUUUCUCUUUUGACCGGUGGAGAUGAUGAAUAUCUCCUCUGAGCCGUCCGGCAUAUGUUACAGGAUGGUACCGGUGCUCCGAAGGCCCGCGUCAGAGUGGAUCAGGGAUGGAGAUGGAAAGACGCUCCUUUUCCGAAGGGCAGCUUUGAUGCGCUUUUAACGGAGAGCUGCGCAAAGGCUUUAAAAAGCUUCCAACAUAUGGUUCUGCGUAUGCUGAAUUAAGUUUCAUUCUGUAUUUAAAGCUGAAUUAAACAAGAAGCCAAUAGUUAAAUAGGAUGUUAUCACGCGCUGUUCCAUCGAUUGAUGUUUAAUAUUUUGUCAAAAGAGUGAAAGCUGCUCCAUUAUGCCAUACUACACACUGCACCAGGUGUUGAAUUCAAGUUACUGAAUUAUAUUUUAAUAUAGAAUAUUAAAAAUGUCGGUUAUUUGUCUAAAAUCUCAACUUUGUGGGCAUGGACGCGUCAAUAAUCUGCAUUCUUGUAUGAGUUACUCGGCAGCGAUUCUUGUUUACUCGAGUCUGAUCGAUUAACUCUUUAGAAACAUGAAUUAUUAAAACUCAGUAAACAGCCAACCUUUCAUGAAGGCCAACACUCUCAGAGAUAGAUGACUAGAGUUGUUUUUUGUUCUUCUACCUGGAAAACAUCUGAAGGCUUGUUUUGGAUUAUUUCCCGGUGUUGCAGCAGGAGUCUCACUCACUCUGGAAGACAAGCUGCUACUUGAAGACAUGACCUCACCGCUGUUAAGCCCCACAGUGAUGCUCCGCUGUCUAAUUUAUCAAACGGAUGGUCAGAAACCAACUCGACUACAUCCACAUACUGGCAGCUGCCUUCCCUGCAGCGUGCCUCAGGAGGCUCGGAGUAAUUUGAAAUCCAAGAGGCACUUCCACAACUUCCAUGUUGCCAUGUUCUCAGUGUAGUUUCCAGUAAUUACUGCAGGUUAAGUGCACGUCCCGGACCUCAGUGGAGGCAGCUCUAUCCCUCACCUGGGACAUGACUCAGCACAGUUCAGGUCAUCCGGCCAUUUCCCUGACCACUGGACCACACCCCAACCUACUUUAAACCCACAGGACAAGCCCUGUUUAUGAACAACUUGCAUUUACUUCCAUCACGUAAUGUAAUGAUAGUUUUAUUUACUGGCUGGACUGUUUGCAGGAAGAUGGCCUCACAUCAAUGCAGACCCGUUUUACAGAGGUUUGCAUCAUUACGGGUUGCUAUCAUUGUAUUCUAGUUUAGUAUAAGGUACUUUCUCAGUGAGGCUAUAGUGUUAGAUUUAUCUGCAUCAGAACCUUAGCUUGUCUUUUCUCUCAUCUGAUUUGUCUGGUGCUCCUGCUGGAGUAACUACAUGUCCCAAGGGUCCAGAUGCUCCAACAGGAUGUUUACACACACAAAUACUUCAAUAAUAGACUUGAUUUUCACAAACUUCUAUACAGGAACCUCCUACCCCCUAAUAUUCAUUUCGUAAUUAAUUAGAAGUUUAUCUGUUUGUAAAAGUAUCCGUAGACUGUCCAUCUAUUCACAGUGGAGGUUUAGUACUUUGUGUAACUCUUCUAUAGUUCCAGUUUUUAAUUGUUUUAAUUUUUACAUAUUCCUUCUUAGAAACCAGAUGUUCUUGGUGGGUCUUAAUGGGUUUUUAUGUCUUUUUGAUGGUUUUUCAAGUGUUUGUUAUUUAUUGUUAUUUACCUGUUUUUUCACCAAUUUCCAGUCCAGUACCAUAGAUGAUUAUUUCUAUGAUUGUCAAGUCACUUUAUUUUGACCUAUGAACCAGUUCAGAUGUACAAAACUUGGCAAAAAACAGUUAUAAAGUUGUAUUAGUACUAUUCCAAACUAUACUAUACUAUACUAUACUAUACUAUACUAUACUAUACUAUACCAUAUUUGUUACAGUUUUUUUGUAGCAGGAUCAAUGAAAAUCCAGUAGAUAAUUAAGUAUGUGAGUAAGUAAUUCAGUUUUAUUUAUAUAGAACUCAUCACAGACAGAGAAUCACAAAGUGCUUCACAGAGUUCAACAAAAAAAUGAAGUAAUAAAAUAAUAAUUAUCUUAAAAACAAAAUAUUAAGUAAAAUAAAAAUUUAAUCAGAAAACACAAAGUCAUGAAUUAAUUAAAUGAUCAUAAAUAUCAUAAAACUAAUGAAAGAUGAUUAUAAAUUUGCAUUAAAAAAAACAUGCAAAAGAUUUAAGUAAAAGCAGAUCUUCAGCUGCAUUUUUAAAGUGUCCAGACUGUCAAUACUACGUAAGGAUAAAGGAAGAUCAUUCUAAAGUCGGGGUGCAACAGUGUGGAAGGAGGCAAUCACCUCAACCAAAUUGGUCUUUGGAACUUCUAGAAGGUUCUGGUCUGUGGAAUUGAGGGCUCCGUUUGGAGCAUAAGGCUUUGACACUUCAGUAAUAAAGGGAGGAGCUUGACCAUGUAGAGCAUUGAAAGUUAUAGUCAGGAUUCUAAAAUGAAUUCUAAAGUUAACGGGUAACCAGUGCAGAGACAUCAGAAUAGGAGUGAUGUGUGUGUUCUUCAGGUAGAAGCCUCGCUGCAGCGUUUUGUACCAACUGAAGGCGGUCAAGGGCUUUUUUGUUAAAACAUGUGAAAAGUGUGUUACAGUAAUCAAGACAGGAGGGGAUAAAGGCAUGGAUGACCAUUUAAAGUUCAUGUUUUGACACCAACCUUCACAAUUUGUUUAUAUUUAUUUAGUGAUAAAAAUAGUUUCAGACCAGCUUUUUGAGUGGCCUUCAAGAGACAUUGAUUGGUCUAAAACAACACCCAGUUUCCUCACAUUUGACUUGACAGCAGAAGAUAAAUGACCAAGUUGUUGACUAAUCAGAGGAACCAUGCUCACAGGGGCAAUGAUCAGACACUCAUUCUUUUCAGAGUUUAACUGAAGGAAGUUAUCUUCUAGCCAGCUGGAGAUAGUUGAUAGACAUUCUAGCAGUGUCUAAGCUAUCUAGACAGAGGGGUAGAAACAUUGUUGUUUAUCACAAACAAGCCCAUCUCCACCUCUGAUAUAUUUAAAUUUCUUGGCACUCACGUCUGCAAUAACCUUAAAAGGAAAACAAAUGCAGAACAUAGCCACAAGGAAGCUCAACAAAGGCUUUUCCAUCUCUGGCAAUUGAAGAAGUUUAAAGUACGUCCUCGUCUUUUACGCCAGUUCUACACAGCUGUCAUUGAAAGCAUUCUUACCUCAUCCAUUACGGUACAGUGCACUUGAUAAACUCUCCAGGAAAAUAACUAGAACAAAUCAUCACCAGAGCAUCUAAACUAACUGGAACUCCUCUCCCUUCCCUGGAUCUGCUUCACCAAAAAGAACACUACAAUGUGCACAGGAUUCUUUCUGACACCUCUCAUCCUGCAUGCUCUGCUUUUCAGCUACUGUCCUCUGGUAGACGAUAUAGGUCAAUUGCUUCAAGAACAACCCAGUUUAAGAACAGUUUCAUUCCUACUGCCAUAAUGACUCUAAAUUAUGAGGGUCGCUAGGCUGCUCUGAUCCUCCACAGUUAUUUGUUGUUGCUUCUCUGUUCUAUGUGUGUAAGGGGAUGAAACUGAUGGAACCUGCUUUGUCCAAACUAUGUACUGGGAAAAAAAUCCACCAGUUUGCUGUGUGGUCAUUAAAGUAAUCUAAUCUAAUCUAAUCUAAUCUAAUCUAAUCUAAUCUAAUCUAAUCUAAUCUAAUCUGGUCUAAUCUAGUCUAAUCUAAUCUAAUCUAAUCUAAUCUAAUCUAAUCUAAUCUAAUCUAAUCUGGUCUAAUCUAGUCUAAUCUAAUCUAAUCUAAUCUAAUCUAAUCUAAUCUAGUCUAAUCUAAUCUAAUCUAAUCUAAUCUAAUCUAAUAUCUAAUCUGAUCUAAUAUCUAAUCUAAUCUAAUCUAAUCUAAUCUAAUCUAAUCU
This is a long non-coding RNA of Nothobranchius furzeri (turquoise killifish), 4494 nucleotides long. RefSeq lists it as uncharacterized. The record is from RefSeq and is a predicted model, not a curated record. Lineage: Eukaryota; Metazoa; Chordata; Actinopteri; Cyprinodontiformes; Nothobranchiidae.